This 253-nucleotide ribosomal RNA is filed under the name uncultured bacterium. RNAcentral's name for it is "partial 16S ribosomal RNA". It matches the Rfam family "Bacterial small subunit ribosomal RNA", at positions 524 to 776 of the family's 1533-position model. The record is from RNAcentral.
UACGGGGGGGGCAAGCGUUGUUCGGAAUUACUGGGCGUAAAGGGCGCGUAGGCGGCUCGCUAAGUCGGGUGUGAAAACUCUGGGCUCAACCCAGAGCCUGCAUUCGAAACUGACGAGCUAGAGUUCUGGAGGGGAAAGCGGAAUUCCUGGUGUAGCGGUGAAAUGCGUAGAUAUCAGGAGGAACACCGGUGGCGAAGGCGGCUUUCUGGACAGAAACUGACGCUGGGGCGCGAAAGCCAGGGGAGCAAACGGG